AACAACCUACGGGGGGCAGCAGUAGGGAAUCUUCCACAAUGGGCGAAAGCCUGAUGGAGCAACGCCGCGUGGGUGAAGAAGGUCUUCGGAUCGUAAAACCCUGUUGUUAGAGAAGAAAGUGCGUGAGAGUAACUGUUCACGUUUCGACGGUAUCUAACCAGAAAGCCACGGCUAACUACGUGCCAGCAGCCGCGGUAGUACGUAGGUGGCAAGCGUUAUCCGGAUUUGUUGGGCGUAAAGGGAACGCAGGCGGGCUUUUAAGUCUGAUGUGAAAGCCUUCGGCUUAACCGGAGUAGUGCAUUGGG
This 305-nucleotide ribosomal RNA is filed under the name uncultured bacterium. RNAcentral describes it as "bacterial SSU rRNA". It matches the Rfam family "Bacterial small subunit ribosomal RNA", at positions 334 to 630 of the family's 1533-position model. The record is from RNAcentral.